GUAAAGCUUUUGCGGUUUGGGAUGGGCCUGCGUCCUAUCAGGUAGUUGGUGAGGUAAAUGCUCACCAAGCCUAUGACGGGUAGCUGGUCUGAGAGGAUGGUCAGCCAGACUGGGACUGCGACACGGCCCAGACUCCUACGGGAGGCAGCAACUAGGAAUUGUGCGCAAUGGACGAAAGUCUGACGCCGCGACAUCGCGUGGAGGAUGAAGGUCUUCGGAUUGUAAACUCCUUUUCUUACCGAACAAGUUCUGAGUGUAGGUAAGGAAUAAGUGCCUGCUAACCACGUGCCAGAAGCAUCGGUAAUACGUGGGGCACGAGCGUUAUCCGGAUUUACUGGGCGUAAAGAGAAGCGUACGCGGCUCAAUAAGUUUGGUGUUAAAUCUUCCGGCUCAACCGGAAACAAGCACCGUAAACUAUCGAGAUUGAGUCGAGUAGGGAAGAGGGGAAAUUCCUGGUGGAGCGGUUAAAUGCGUAGAUAUCAGGAGGAAUACCAAGGGCGAAGGCACCUCUUUGGACUCGUACUGACGCUGAGGCUCGAAAGCGUGGGUAGCAAAACGGAUUAGAUACCCGUGUAGUCCACGCCGUAAACGAUCCCUGUUAGAUGU
This 606-nucleotide ribosomal RNA is filed under the name uncultured organism. RNAcentral's name for it is "bacterial SSU rRNA". It matches the Rfam family "Bacterial small subunit ribosomal RNA", at positions 201 to 823 of the family's 1533-position model. The record is from RNAcentral.